GGGGGAGUAGCUCAGUGGGUUAGAGCAGCGGUCUUAUACACCGCUUGUCGGUGGUUCGAGUCCACCCUCCCCUACCA
Molecule: transfer RNA, 77 nt
Filed under: Chloroflexota bacterium
Lineage: Bacteria; Bacillati; Chloroflexota
Also listed under: 1 other name
Description: Chloroflexi bacterium tRNA-Ile
Rfam family: tRNA
About the family: Transfer RNA (tRNA) molecules are approximately 80 nucleotides in length. Their secondary structure includes four short double-helical elements and three loops (D, anti-codon, and T loops).
Source: RNAcentral